This 492-nucleotide ribosomal RNA is filed under the name uncultured bacterium. RNAcentral's name for it is "partial 16S ribosomal RNA". It matches the Rfam family "Bacterial small subunit ribosomal RNA", at positions 29 to 507 of the family's 1533-position model. The record is from RNAcentral.
AGUGAACGCUGGCGGUAGGCCUAACACAUGCAAGUCGAACGGCAGCACAGUAAGAGCUUGCUCUUACGGGUGGCGAGUGGCGGACGGGUGAGGAAUACAUCGGAAUCUACUUUUUCGUGGGGGAUAACGUAGGGAAACUUACGCUAAUACCGCAUACGACCCACGGGUGAAAGCAGGGGAUCUUCGGACCUUGCGCGAUUGAAUGAGCCGAUGUCGGAUUAGCUAGUUGGCGGGGUAAAGGCCCACCAAGGCGACGAUCCGUAGCUGGUCUGAGAGGAUGAUCAGCCACACUGGAACUGAGACACGGUCCAGACUCCUACGGGAGGCAGCAGUGGGGAAUAUUGGACAAUGGGCGCAAGCCUGAUCCAGCCAGACCGCGUGGGUGAAGAAGGCCUUCGGGUUGUAAAGCCCUUUUGUUGGGAAAGAAAAGCAGCAGGUUAAUACCCCGCUGUUCUGACGGUACCCAAAGAAUAAGCACCGGCUAACUUCGUG